GGCUUCGCAGCCAUUUCCUCCGACCGCCGCGGAACGGGCGGGCGGGAUCGGCGCCGGCCAGCGAGACGCGGGGGUAGAGGGGCCGCCCGCGCGCCGAGCGGACGGAAGACGCCGGCCACCGAGAGGCCCGGGGUAGAGAGGCCGGCCGCGCCCGGAGCAGCGCCCCCGCACGGCGAGCGGAGGAAGGAGCGCGGCUCCGGCCCCGCCCCGCCGGCCCGGCCCCGCGCGGGUCCCGACGGCGCUUCCCCGCCCACUUUGAGGCCGAAGGGGCCGGGACGAGGACGGCGGAGCGAGGCGCGGCGCUCCUUUGCCACCAGACUGCGUGCCCGGCUUCUCCGGGAUUCGCGUCGGCUGCCCGCCCGGCCAAGGAGCUCAGCGCCCGCGCCGCCCCCGCAUACCCGCGGAGCGGAGCGGAGCUCAAGCAACCAGGCACACCUGCCACUGGGGCGGCGGGGAAAGCGCUCCGGCCGACGACCACCCUCCACCUGGAUUUUCUCCUCUAGUAACCCCCCCAGCGCCUGCCGUCCCCAGAUACUCAGCAAACGGAUCUCAGAGGGGAAAACGCCUGCUACCUGGACGCCACGGACACCAGCCCUAAGGCCCGCAGCUCCUUGGCAGAGGGCCCUCGUCCCCAUCACUGCCUCCAUAGAUCCCUCUGCCCCAUUUCCGAGAAGCAGGAACCGCUGGGCAAAAAGCAGACACGUGCCCUGGGGCACUAAAACUGCAGCCCUGCCCCUGCAGGGGCCUCCAGGUGCUUCCACGUGGAGAAGCAGGCGUGCCUUUAACGAUCUCACUCACUCCGCCGCCAGGUUCCGAGAGAGACUGUGCGUCUUCUUCCAAGCACCUCAGCCCCGGCUUGUUUCUGCUGGUGUGAGUCCGUCUGCCCCCCAAGCCCCGCAUCGAGCCUUGCAGGGGCGCCGUCUACACUUGCUUCUUGCUCGUCUUCAGGUUUGCCCCAUAGGUGUCAUGAGUUUAGACACCAGACAGACGGAACUGAAACUCGCUGUGACCUCCGGCUGGUUGUUUGUAAAGCAGGGCUCCCAUGCUCCGGCAAGGGGCUCACAGGCGGCCUCCUGCAAAGGGCCCCAAGUAGGAGCUGGAAUGGGGAGACCCGCCGGGCCAGGUUAG
Molecule: long non-coding RNA, 1128 nt
Filed under: Sus scrofa (pig)
Lineage: Eukaryota; Metazoa; Chordata; Mammalia; Artiodactyla; Suidae
Description: lncRNA (ENSSSCG00070001561.1)
Source: RNAcentral